This 466-nucleotide ribosomal RNA is filed under the name uncultured bacterium. RNAcentral's name for it is "partial 16S ribosomal RNA". It matches the Rfam family "Bacterial small subunit ribosomal RNA", at positions 28 to 507 of the family's 1533-position model. The record is from RNAcentral.
GAUGAACGCUGGCGGCGUGCUUAACACAUGCAAGUCGAACGGAAAGGCCCAAGCUUGCUUGGGUGCUCGAGUGGCGAACGGGUGAGUAACACGUGGGUGAUCUGCCCUGCACUUUGGGAUAAGCCUGGGAAACUGGGUCUAAUACCGGAUAGGACCAUCGUUUAGUGUCGGUGGUGGACAGUUUUUCGGUGUGGGAUGAGCUCGCGGCCUAUCAGCUUGUUGGUGGGGUAAUGGCCUACCAAGGCGUCGACGGGUAGCCGGCCUGAGAGGGUGUACGGCCACAUUGGGACUGAGAUACGGCCCAGACUCCUACGGGAGGCAGCAGUGGGGAAUAUUGCACAAUGGGCGCAAGCCUGAUGCAGCGACGCCGCGUGGGGGAUGACGGCCUUCGGGUUGUAAACUCCUUUCGCCAAGGACGAAGCGUUUUGUGACGGUACUUGGAGAAGAAGCACCGGCUAACUACGUG